This 24-nucleotide small RNA is filed under the name Arabidopsis thaliana (thale cress). RNAcentral's name for it is "ATSL250210". Lineage: Eukaryota; Viridiplantae; Streptophyta; Magnoliopsida; Brassicales; Brassicaceae. The record is from RNAcentral.
UUACACAGGGACUACAAAACAAAC